ACAAUGAUGGCGUCCCGGUCACCACCGUUUUAUCGGUUGGGAGGCUUGGCCCACCAAAAAAACCUGA
Molecule: ribosomal RNA, 67 nt
Filed under: Russula queletii
Lineage: Eukaryota; Fungi; Basidiomycota; Agaricomycetes; Russulales; Russulaceae
Description: partial 28S ribosomal RNA
Source: RNAcentral